AGAGUUUGAUCCUGGCUCAGAUUGAACGCUGGCGGCAGGCCUAACACAUGCAAGUCGAACGGUAGCACAGAGAGCUUGCUCUCGGGUGACGAGUGGCGGACGGGUGAGUAAUGUCUGGGAAACUGCCUGAUGGAGGGGGAUAACUACUGGAAACGGUAGCUAAUACCGCAUAACGUCGCAAGACCAAAGAGGGGGACCUUCGGGCCUCUUGCCAUCAGAUGUGCCCAGAUGGGAUUAGCUAGUAGGUGGGGUAACGGCUCACCUAGGCGACGAUCCCUAGCUGGUGUGAGAGGAUGACCAGCCACACUGGAACUGAGACACGGUCCAGACUCCUACGGGAGGCAGCAGUGGGGAAUAUUGCACAAUGGGCGCAAGCCUGAUGCAGCCAUGCCGCGUGUAUGAAGAAGGCCUUCGGGUUGUAAAGUACUUUCAGCGGGGAGGAAGGUGUUGGGGUUAAUAACCUCAGCAAUUGACGUUACCCGCAGAAGAAGCACCGGCUCCUCCGUGUCAAA
This 512-nucleotide ribosomal RNA is filed under the name Enterobacter cloacae. RNAcentral's name for it is "bacterial SSU rRNA". It matches the Rfam family "Bacterial small subunit ribosomal RNA", at positions 8 to 512 of the family's 1533-position model. Lineage: Bacteria; Pseudomonadati; Pseudomonadota; Gammaproteobacteria; Enterobacterales; Enterobacteriaceae. The record is from RNAcentral.